CAGACACUCAGGUCUUAACCUGCCCUCUGCAACACACCCAGACAGUCUCUUCCUAGCAGGUGCAGCCAGGAGGUCACCCAGGUUUUCUCUCCACCAGGUGGGAUCCAGAACCAUGCUGGGUCCCCUUGCUAUCCUGUGUGCUCUCCUAUUUCCCGGUGGUGGAGCAGGGCUCAAGCUGAGUCAGACCGCUUUGUUGGUGGCACGCGUGGGCAGUUCACGUUCUCUGGAUUGCCAAGUGGACAGCUCGGUCAGCUACAUCCACUGGUACCGCCAACAGGAGGGUACGGCGCCGAAGAGGCUCCUCUACCUAGACAUGUCCACGUCCCUUGUGCAACGGGAUUUUGUCCUGAAAGCAGACAAAGUUUAUGCCAAGAAGGGCAAGGAUAGCUACAGCUGUAUUCUGUCACUGCUGAAACUGGAGAAAAGUGACGAAGGCGUGUACUACUGUGCUGCCUGGGCAUACCACAGCCCUGUGCUCUGACCAGGUCCCUGAGCAAAAAGGUCUCUGUCUCCCAGGACACUGAAGACCUGGCACAUUUCAAUGACUCUGGGUCUCUGGGGAU
Non-coding RNA from Lutra lutra (Eurasian river otter), 563 nucleotides. The record is from the annotation of a RefSeq genome assembly. Lineage: Eukaryota; Metazoa; Chordata; Mammalia; Carnivora; Mustelidae.